AGUUGGAAUGCCUAAAAACUCCUACCAGGAUUGGGACUCUGAUAUGCUGGGAAUUCUGUAUCCAUUAUUUGUCAUUUUUUACUAUAUGUUCGCUUUUUGCAUUUCUCUCCACAGACUGUACAGACUUUUCUAUACAAACUACUCUGUAUAACUUUUUUUUUUCAUUGUCAGUGUAACUUUUUUUGUGCACCACCACAUUCUCGUUGUGCAGUGUUUUCUACCAGCAAAGGAAGGGUAUUUUUCUGUUCUGUUUAGAUUUGUUCAUAGAUUCCAAGGCUAAAAGAGAGCAUUGUGAUCAUCUGGUAUGGCCUCCUGUAUAACACAGACCAUAGAACUUCCCCAAAGGAGUAUAUCUUUUAGAAAAACAUCCAGUCUUGAUUUAAAAAUUGUCAGUGAUGGAGAAUCCACCACAACAUUUGAAGUUGUUCCAGUGGUUAAUUAUGCUCAUUGUUAAAAAUGUAUACCUUAUCUCUAGUCUGAAUUUCUCUAGCUUCAAUUUCCAACCAUUGGAUUGUGUUAUACCUUUCUCAGCUAGAUUGAAGAGCCCAUUUUAAAUAUUUGUUCUCCAUGUAGGUACUUAUAGAUUGUAAUCAAGUUAACCCUUAACCUUCUCUUUGUUAGACUCAAUCCAUUCAGCUUAUUGCUAUAAGGCGUGUUUUCUAACCCUUAAACAUUCUCACUGCUCUUCUCUGAACCAUCUCCAAUUUAUCAACAUUUUUCUUGAACUGUGGACACCAGAAGUGGAGACAGCAUUCCAGCAGUGGUUGCACCAGUCCCAAAUACAGAGGUAAAAUAACCUCUCUACUACUCAUGAGCCACAGUGUCACACUGGGAGCUCAUAGUCAGCUGAUUAUCACAACAUCCAAAUCUUUUUCAGAGUCACUGCUUCCCAGGAUAGAGUCCUCCAUCAGGACACUGAAAAAAACCUCUGGAAGCAGAAUCUUGACCUGAUGGUCAAGGGAGUUGUGGGACUUCCUACAGCAGUUCAACGUUUGGCUUUACCAUGGCAGGAAGAACUGUGUUGUUGAUUCGUGGAAGAGGUAAAGACGCGUGCCCUCAGGAGAAGAAAAGUGUGACACCUCAGAGGGGGGUUUGUAAAGUAUUGAGCUGUUUCACUGUUUAAUGCUACAUCUAUGUCAAAUUGUUGAGUUUGUCCCUCUUCAAUUUUAACUAAAGGUAUGUCUACACUGAGGGUGUAGUUCCCAUCUUGAGAUUAUACCUGCACUAGUUCUGAUUGAACUAGCAUGCUAAAAAUAGUGUAGCCACAGCAGGGCAAGCAGCUAGUCGCCCCAAGCAUAAUCCUGUCAAAAACUCUAGUUAUGUACUCAGGGUGGCUAGCCCCUCCUGUGGCUACACGCUAUUUUUAGCACGCUAGCUUGAUCAGAACUGGAGUGGGUAUGUCUCCUCAAGCUGGGAAUUAUACCACCCCACUUGAAGGGUGGAGGUAUACUGUGUAAUUGGCUCCAAACCACAUUAGCCAGAAAACUAAGUACUGCUAAGGAAAAACUGGAGAGAGACUUUUUUUUAUAGCCCCAUUGCUUUCUAAAACUACAAAUUACCUCCCCGAGUUCUCUGUCAGCACUCUUCCUGGGGACUCUGGCUCCAGUGUGGCCCUAAUGGCCCUCCACCAUAUAUGAGGGCAUUCAAGGCCCCUGUGAGAGAUUUGAUUCUAGUGCAUGCUUACAGCCUCCGACAGUGCUAUUGUAAUAUAGACAAUAACAGUCCAAAACAUUACACCUGGGUUAGCUUAUGGAUUCCUGCAGAGAUGGAGCAUUUUUGUUGGAGCUGGUUGGACAAGGCUUUUUCCUUCAAUGAAAAACUUCAUUUUUGGCAAAAAAUUAAAAACCAAAAUAUCAGUUUUCAGGCAUUCAGCGUUUCAAUGAAAAAUUAAAAAUUUCAAUGAAGGGCAGACAAAAUUAGCGAAAAAUUUGCUGUAGUCAAAACCCAAUUUUCAAUCAAAAAAUAAUUUAGAUGGAAAAAUCUUUGACCAGCCCUAGUUUUUGUACAUUAUUGACUUUAAUCUUGUACAGUUUUGGGAAUUUUUUUCCUCCUUAUUUAACCAGUCAUGUAGUAGUUACCGGUAGUUAAACUUGACAGAGCAGUGAUGCUUACAAAAUUAAUCAGUAGCAGUGAGCGUUACAGAUUUUAGCCUGUUUCUGGUUGAUCUGGUUGGUAUGUAAUGAGGAGAAUAGUAGUAGAUUGCCAUUUGGUCUUCCAAACCAUACAUAAUGUAUUAUCCAAGAUUACCAAACGAAGUGUAACAAUUAUUUUUGAAGUUUGGUUCUUAUGUGUAUGUCUCCAUGUCAGUAGAUGCUGUGCUGUAAUUUUGUUUUGGGUUUGUGAAGCUAUUAUUAAUAUAAUGAUGAGUAUUAUAAGACAUCCAUUGUUGGAAUAUCUGGGCACUCUUAAAAUGGCUUAGAUUAAAAGCAAUAACACUUCUACAGUAUGGCAAGCAAAUGCACCAUAUGCCUCCUUUUACAGAACAGAGACAAAAUGUAGGUUUUUGUAAUGGUAAAAGUUAAUAUAUUUGUGUGCAGCAGGCUGUCUUGGUUAUAUGAACCUCAAAUUAUAUGGAUUUUAGUUCUGUCACCUAUAUAAAACUUUACAUAAUGUAAGCAUAACUGAAACAGGCAGCAUUUUCUGUGCAAUUUGAAGGUGACAAACAGUCUGAGUAGAGAAAGAGGACUUGACGGUAGUCAGAAUUGCCCAUUGAGUAUCCCUUCGUUUGCAUAUAAAGGUUAUGUAGUGUCCAGGGUUGGGGCUGCACAGUUGUAGACUGGAAGAACUGGAGGGUGUUAAAUACAGACUUACUGGGACCAUAAAGAGAACAGAGAAUUCUUACAUAGCUAGGAUGUAGAGCAACACUGCUAUGUCCUGAUUUGGCUAUAGGCAAUUAAAAGCUGACCCAUUCCUUGGGACUAGUUCGAUGUGUAUGUGUCAAUCAGAAGAGUCUGAUAUUUGCAUAAGAUCCUAAUAUUUUGGCAUCAAAGUGCUGCAAUUCUUAAUAACAAAUUUUCAUUUAUGUAUUGCAGUGGUUUUCAACCUUUUUUCAUUUGCAGACCCCUAAAAAAAUUCCAAAUGGAGGGCUACACCUAUUUGGAAAUCUUAGACAUAUAGUCUGUGGAUCCCCAGGGGUCCACAGACCACAGGCUGAAAACUACUGUUCUGUGGUAAUGACAACCUUUGCAGAUCCCUUAGACAUAGUCUGUGGAGAAAACCACUGAUGUACUGUAAAAUAACAGAACACAUCAGAAAUCCGAGAUAAAAAAAAUUUAAUCUCUCUGUGGAAACAGUGCACUG
This is a long non-coding RNA of Caretta caretta (loggerhead turtle), 3300 nucleotides long. RefSeq lists it as uncharacterized. Lineage: Eukaryota; Metazoa; Chordata; Testudines; Cheloniidae. The record is from RefSeq and is a predicted model, not a curated record.